UUUAGUAGCGAAGUUCCUGAUGUCACACUGCCAAGAAAAGCUUCUAGUGAGAAAGUAACUGCCCGUACCGCAAACCGACACAGGCAGUUGAGGAGAGAAUCCUAAGGUGUGCGAGAGAACUCUCGUUAAGGAACUCGGCAAAAUGACCCCGUAACUUCGGGAGAAGGGGUGCUGACCGCAAGGUCAGCCGCAGUGAAUAGGCCCAAGCGACUGUUUAUCAAAAACACAGGUCUCUGCAAAAUCGAAAGAUGACGUAUAGGGGCUGACGCCUGCCCGGUGCUGGAAGGUUAAGAGGAGAGGUUAGCGCAAGCGAAGCUUUGAAUUGAAGCCCCAGUAAACGGCGGCCGUAACAAUAACGGUCCUAAGGUAGCGAAAUUCCUUGUCGGGUAAGUUCCGACCCGCACGAAAGGCGUAACGAUUUGGGCACUGUCUCAACGAGAGACUCGGUGAAAUUAUAGUACCAGUGAAGAUGCUGGUUACCCGCGACAGGACGGAAAGACCCCAUGGAGCUUUACUGCAGUUUGAUAUUGCGUGUUUGUAUCACAUGUACAGGAUAGGUAGGAGCCGAAGAUACCGGGACGCCAGUCUCGGAGGAGGCAACGGUGGGAUACUACCCUUGUGAUAUGACCACUCUAACCCGCUGCUCUUAGCGAGCAGGAGACAGUGUCAGACGGGCAGUUUGACUGGGGCGGUCGCCUCCAAAAAUGUAACGGAGGCGCCCAAAGGUUCCCUCAGAAUGGUUGGAAAUCAUUCGUAGAGUGUAAAGGCAGAAGGGAGCUUGACUGCGAGACCUACAAGUCGAGCAGGGACGAAAGUCGGGCUUAGUGAUCCGGUGGUUCCGCAUGGAAGGGCCAUCGCUCAACGGAUAAAAGCUACCCUGGGGAUAACAGGCUUAUCUCCCCCAAGAGUUCACAUCGACGGGGAGGUUUGGCACCUCGGUGUCGGCUCAUCGCAUCCUGGGGCUGUAGUCGGUCCCAAGGGUUGGGCUGUUCGCCCAUUAAAGCGGUACGCGAGCUGGGUUCAGAACGUCGUGAGACAGUUCGGUCCCUAUCCGUCGCGGGCGUUGGAAAUUUGAGAGGAGCUGUCCUUAGUACGAGAGGACCGGGAUGGACACACCGCUGGUGUACCAGUUGUUCUGCCAAGAGCAUCGCUGGGUAGCUAUGUGUGGACGGGAUAAACGCUGAAAGCAUCUGAGCGUGAAGCCCCCCUCAAGAUGAGAUUUCCCAUCACUUUAAGUGAGUAAGACCCCUGA
RNAcentral lists this ribosomal RNA (1252 nucleotides) under metagenome. RNAcentral describes it as "bacterial LSU rRNA". It matches the Rfam family "Bacterial large subunit ribosomal RNA", at positions 1578 to 2840 of the family's 2925-position model. The record is from RNAcentral.